UGGAAAAUUUUGGGUUUUAAUCUUUUGGCCUUCUUCUGAGGGGUAGUUAUGAGUUGGGCUAGUGGGUCGGUACUUAUUUGGACCAGACAUGUUUUGGGUUUUUAUCUUAUGACUUUCUUCUGGGGGAUAACUAUGUGUCGGGCUAGUGGGCCGAUACUUAGUCAGACCAGACAUGUUUUGGGUUUGAAUCUUGUGACCUUCUUCUGAGGGGUAACUACGUGUCAGGCUAGUGGGUCGGUACUUAUUCGAUCCUGACGAGUUUUCGGUUGUAAUAUUAUGUCCUUUUGAGGGGUAGCUAUGAGUUGGGCUAGUAGGUCGAUAUUUAUUCGAGUCAGCCAUGUUUUGGGUUUUAACAUUGUGACCUUCUCCUGGGGGAUAACUGUGUGUCGGGAUAAUGCUUCGGUACUUAUUUGACCC
This 417-nucleotide long non-coding RNA is filed under the name Lactuca sativa (garden lettuce). Its description in RNAcentral is "long non-coding RNA (LSAT_LNC008119)". Lineage: Eukaryota; Viridiplantae; Streptophyta; Magnoliopsida; Asterales; Asteraceae. The record is from RNAcentral.